GCUUGUGUAGACAUUGGUAUAUUUUGUCAAACUAACCCCUGUAGGAAAACUUUCAUUAUCAACCUGGGAAGUCCUGAGAUACAAACUCACAUUGGAGAUAAAGAAGACACAUGAAAUUUAACGACUUGCACAAGGAAGACAUAGCUCAUUCAUCAUAGAGAGACGAUCCAUGGGACAAGACAAAGAGUGCCAUAGACCCGAUGCACAACCGCUAAGAAAGGAAAGCUUCUACAAGGUGAUACUAUCACUCUUCAAGUAAGGUAACAUUUUAAGGUACUUGACUAUCACUUUUAUAAGCUUCUCCUUGGUUCUAGCAUUCACAUAAAUAAAGAGACAAACAUGUAUGAUUUGUAGCUUCAAAUUAACCAACCCAACUGAUUCAGCAUGUUUAGUCCUUUACUCUGUGAUCCCAAGCUCCUAAUCAUAUAAGCUAAUAUGUUGCACAUUCAAUCUUUGGAAGAUAUAAACAAAAAAUAUAUAUAUAUAGAUUAUCUUUCCAUUAGGUUAAGCCAUCUGAUCUAACAAAUGUUUUAAAUGCUACACUCAUGGUCCAUCAACUUUGUCUUGCUCACUAUGCUUAAGGUUAGAGAAGAACAAAUACACUUUUGGUUCUGUUGGUGUUUUCGACCAACAGGGCCCAUGCACUUGAUCUCUGCCUUGUCUCUAUGAGCAGGACACAUUUUGAGAAACGUGAUGGCGUUUUACAGGUCCUAGAUUCCAUGAAGUGAAGAACCGGGAUCUACGAGCACAAACACAAUGGAGAUCAGACACUUAGUUUUCCAAAGGAAAUAUUGAAGAACCUCUGUGUCCGAGUUGGUACCUUGUACGCUCCAGCAAACUUCAUGGUGAUAGAGACUGGUACUAAGGAGAGGGCACCCAUCAUCUUAGGGUGGCCAUUCCUAAACACCAGAGCUGUCAUCUACGCUAAUGCUGCCAAGAUCAGUCUCUACAUCAAGGGGAAGAAGGAGACUUUCCUUCAAGAACGAGACUACACAAACUUCAGAGCAAUCCUGACAUGAACCAAGGAAGAGGACCAACAGGAGUAACAAGAACAAGCAAAUGUGGACCAAGUCAGCUGAGAUGGUCACUGCAGCUCAAGGAGGUCAAGAUCGUCGACUCGAGUCACCUUUCUUGAUCAAGAAGGACGACCCUGAUGUUCCAAGCAUUGAGUGCACAAUCAACAGAUACUCUUUUUUGAAGACACUCUAUGACACCGGAUCUGACGUCAACAUAAUGACCGCAGUCACUUAUCAGCUCCUGCAUGGAACCGUGUUCCUACAACCAAGAUACAUUCAGCUCUAGAUGAUUUUUAGGUUAUUAACAUGGGAGAAGACGAGUACAAUCCAGCCACCAUCCUUGGAAGACCGUUCCUCAACACUAUCAAAGCCAUCAUCUAUAUUGGAACCGGAGAAGUCCACAUGCACUUCCCCUCGAAGAAGGUACGCCGCUCUUACUGACCCUAACCAUAUAGUUGAAGACUCUAAGCAGGUCAGGACAAGAAGAAGACAACGCAACCGCAACCAGAGGAGGCAAAUCAUCAAGGAAGGAUGGGUAGACUAUGAAGGAGAAGUGAUAAGGUCUGAAGACAUAUAGCUUGAAUAGAACUGUCCUGAGGAGACCGUAGCACCGAGUCAGGUGUGGAGAGAGAAGAUAGUUAUACACGAAGAGGAGGCGCCGCCGAAACCACCGACUACACCAUCCAACGAAUCCCAGGACGACUGAGAAAACAAAAGGAGUCCCGUUCGGAGGACUUAAAAAAUACCGAACGUCUUGCCAAGAGAUAAACUUGGUAGUUAUCCUUUUCCCUUCAAUUAUUUUGUUUAGUUAAUCAGGUUCAUACUAUCUUGAAAAGAAAAUAAAAAUGUUAAAAAAAUAGUAAGCCCCAUGUGAGUAUGCUCAUGGCAUAAAACUCAUUCACUGUGGUGGCAUAAAAAUAAAAUAAAUAUUCUUUCUGCUCUAUAAAAAUGAAAAUAUAAAAAUAAGAUUAUAAUCCUGCUAAAUAAAUAACAUUUAUUGAGAAGGCUCAACAUGAUAAAGGCUAGAUAUUUAUGCUAACACUUAACCAGUUCCACAAAGCUUUGUUGUCUAUUUGAGCUCCACAGCAUUCAAGGAUCAAAGAAGACUAGCAGACGGAGGACAUCCUAAUCGCUGUCAGGGUGCUGCCGACUUUCAAAUACACCUCCACCACCUGCUAGCUACAUCAGAAGAAAUUACGUCAAAAUCCAGCUUGGGGGAGAGCACCCCCAUUUAUCUAGCUAAGUGUUUCUACUCGCGUUUAUACUUUACUCAAAUAAUAAAAAGAUGCAUAAUCAUGAAAACCCAAAUAAAAAUUUUGUGCUUUUAUAUAUAUCUUUGCUUAGUUUGCUAAAUAAAUAAAUAAAGUUUGCUAUGAACCCUCAUGAUAAACUCUCACAUGGAAAUGAUGAAUAGUUGCUCUGCCAUGACUAGCUCUUAAAAUUGAAAUCUCUCUCAAGUUUAGGUAUAACUGUUAUAAUUUAAACCUACUCUAAACCUAAACUUGUGGGAAGAGUACUUGAUCUAAAGUCUAAGUCGUUAACGGAUAUGAUAUGGGAAGGUUGAGCUGCUGUUUAUCUGUUCCUAGAGAUGCUAGAAUUCUAGAGAAUUUUAUCUUUGAAAAAUCUUUAAAAUAACACAUGAUGAGUUCCUAUAUGAUGAGAGUUUAAAUUCCUACCACAGCCAUAUAUACAUGCUUGCUAGACUUUGAGCCACAUAUUUACUUUUUACUGCUUAUGAGCAUUGAGUGUGGUCAAGCUGUGUAGACCCUUAGGAGCUUGUCAUGUGGUUAAAAUCAAGAUUCACUUGCACGUUCACUCAUACAUGCUACUUCUACUCCGGAAGUACCAUCCACAUAUAUCCACUCAUUUUCAUCUCCAGAACCAAAAAAAAACAUUCUACUCCUAAUCCGGGAGAGAAUAGCCAAAAACAUUUUUCUAUCCUUGUUAUUCCCUGUGAUAUAAAUGCUCCAGUUAUUUUGGUUACUACCACUUGCUAUAUUAUUUCAGGAGAUGAGUGCUCUAAAAAAAAGAAAAAAAGAAAAAGAGAAAAAAAAAUACGAGGAAAUAAAAAGGGGCAAGUGCCCGGAACCUCGAAAGAAAAGAAAAAGUGAGACGAGAUGUAAAAAUGGACAAGUGUCCGACAGUAGAAUUAGGGUUACAAGAUACCCACCUGAGAGGAAAGAAAAAGAAAAAAUAGAGCAUCUCAUUCUCCUCUAAAAGCUUCAAAGUGCAAGAAAUGUAUGUAUCCCCUCAAAAGAGCAAAAGUAGAAUUAGACUUUCACCAUUGUUAUCACCAUCAUCACCAUACACUAUUCACUCGCCACACAUGCACAUCUUGAUUUGACUUAUUGACUUGUUUCUCUGGAUCCAUGGUUUGACUAUGCAAUAAAUGUCUUGUAAGUAUGUAUUAGCUGUCUCCCACCUAUGAGCUCCAGAUAUCAAAACCUUAUUAGAGUAGGGUGAGAGAGAAGGCAAUAUCACUAUGCCUCAUACCAAAAAUACCACAUACUUUGAGAGAAGGCAUAUACCAUUACUGCCUUGGUAAGGAUCCAGAAAUACCACAAAAGAGAGACUAGAGAGAGUCAUACAAGAAUCUCUGAGUUUUAUUUGAAAAUCUGCAAAAACUCGAGAGCUAUAGCUGAUCAAGAAUAAGAGACAUGGCGCUUGACUUGACUGUUCUAUCUUUUAACUGCUCAAGACACAGGUGAUGGUUACAAGCCCCAUGGUGAAAGGUAAAAUGAGUAAGUUUUAAAGUCUUAACAGUUUACUCUAACUCAGAGAUGAGAUCUUGCUUGAAUGCGUGUGUACUUUUAAGGCAUGAAACCAUUGCAGAAACUCUUGAGUUCAUCCUUGCUCAGGGACGAGCAAGAGGUAAGCUUGGGGGAGUUGUUGACGGUCCUUAAGUACCAAAUAUAAUCAUCAAAUAAAUAAAGAAAAGGAUCCAAAUGCAACCAACACCCAGACUUAGGGUUUUAUCUGACAGAAUUCCACGAGUUUUGGUGUUUGUCUAUUUCUAUAGGGGGUUAUCAGGAAAUAUGGAAGAAAGGCCCACAUGUUGGGAUUACAUAGAGAUAUCUAUGCACCACGCAAUUUUCUGCCAUCUAGAAGACUCCAGAAGCCACGGGAAGAAAGCAGAGGCCGAAAGGGGCCUGGCCCAGGGCGCCCGCCCCCCUUUGGACUCCGUUCAGGACUCUCUUCGCACACGACGUUCCACCGACCUAAUAGAUCAAAGAUAAUGUAGUACCACCUCGCCUACCAACCCAAAAACGCAUAGAGGAGGAGGAAUAUAUAAGGAGACCCCCCUGGCCCCUGGAGAAGACAAGAAGUUAUCAUAGAUAUUGAUGGGUGCCCUCGAAGGAAAACCUCUUCUCUAAAUAAUAUUUCUUUUUAGGCUUAGCAACCAAUGUAAAGUAGAAAUAGAUCUGUUGAUGCAAAACUGAUCUGCAAACACAAAGGGCUAAUACCCGAUUCAAACGUUAAGGCGUGCCAGCCGAUUUGACCUUGCUAUCGGCAAAGGUGAUAACUCGAAUACUUUAGUCCUGACAACAGCGAUACGCCCGGAUGUCACGGCUAAGAGGUACUCACGCGGAACUCGAGAACACGCUGAGCUUAAGUCGACGAAUUCCUAAGAACUCGUAAUAAAAAGAAAAAAGUAUGACAAAGUCGUCGAAAAGUAGAUGCUGGAAUAUGAGUAAAAACGUGUGUUU
RNAcentral lists this long non-coding RNA (4723 nucleotides) under Sorghum bicolor (sorghum). RNAcentral describes it as "long non-coding RNA (SBIC_LNC008967)". Lineage: Eukaryota; Viridiplantae; Streptophyta; Magnoliopsida; Poales; Poaceae. The record is from RNAcentral.